GGCUAGGAUGUAAUAAUCUUCUAUUCUAAAGGGACCGAGACCCUACUAGAUGUUUGGGCUAGGAUGUAAUAAUCUUCUAUUCUAAAGGGACCGAGACCCUACUAGAUGUUUGGGCUAGGAUGUAAUAAUCUUCUAUGUUAAAGGAACGUCCAAAAUAUGUAAAACAAAUAAAAUAAUCAAUUAUAAAAAAUCCUUUUGCAUUUAUCAGUUAGAUCUAUAUUUUCCUACUGUGCUACAAUGUACAUUAUAAUUUGGUCUUUUUUGUCAUCACUUUUAAUUAAAAUUGUGUAUGUAGUGAUAAAACUCUUUAAGGUAAAUAUUUUAACUAUAAUUUAGCUUUACAUUAUAUUUCAGUUUUAUGAAGUGAUAUUUAGAAUUUUAUGACUAUUUAAUUUGUAUGUUUGUAAGGUUUCUUGUUUUGUCUUCACCAUUACCAGCUUUAAGCUUUCUUUUUGUUAUUGGCAUUCAAAAGAAUAUGUUUUAUUGUAUUAAUUUUAUUCUCAUCAGCAUAGUAUCUGUAAAAAAGUGUUUGUUAAAUGCUCUUCAAACCCUGGAUCAGUGGUUACAUAUAUUAUGCAAAUUAAUUAUAUAUGACCAUAACAUCUUAGUAUUGUGUAGACCAGGAAUGAAAGGAUAGUAGCUAUUCAGUUAAGCAUCUUGCUGAUUUGUUACUCUUGACUAUUGGCUUAUAUUUGUGUGGGUUCUGUCAGGAUCCCAGCUGUCAACAUAAUGUCUUGCCAGUCUUUUGUUUUAAUAGAUUUUUCAGGUAGAAGGUUUCUUUGUUUGUUUUGUUUUCUUUUUAGUAUACUGGUCAUAUGACACUCAUGUAGACUUAUAGACCAGGUACAGGUCACUUUGAUCUCAUGCCUCAUUCUUUUCUUGGUGUCAUUGAGAACAAAGUUGACAGAGCUUGAACUAUUGUGUUGAAUAAUUCUGAUGUUAAUAAGCAAACAUGUGUAUACCUUUUAUUUAACAAAAUAUUUGAUUACUUAUAAAAGUGUUUUUUUUUAAUGAGAAUCAUGCUUCAUUUAUGAAUUAAGGAUGCCAUUGGAUAAAAAGAAAAAGGGACAUAACAAUGUUUUAUUCUUGUACAAACUCUUGUUAAUGUCAUUGUUUCAUGAGCUUGGGAGACUUCAGCUUUAAUUCAUUGAAUAAGUUUUUUGCAUUGUAUUUUUGUAUGUAAUGAAAAUUUCAUAUUUUUGUAAUGCUUGAAAAAAAUAUCUCCACUUAACUCAUGCUAUUAUAAUUGAUUUCACAGAGUUUUUUUGUUUUUUUUAUAUAGCUAAAUCUAUUUCAUUCUAUUAAUAUGUGAAUCUUAAAUGCCAAAGAUAGGAUAUAGCAUCUCCUCCAUUCACUUAAGCUUAGCCCAUUGAAUCUAUGAAAUAUUAUUCAGAAAUAACUUUAUUCCGACAGUUGUUUGGAUUACAUUGUGAACUUUGUAUGAUCUAUUGCAUCUCAACAUUCAGGAUAUAUAAUUUAGAGAUGUCCCAUACACUCAAUUAUAGUGCAUUGUAAUUAGAAAAUUUUAUUUCUGAAACAUCCCUAGAACAGCAUUCAGUCAUCACGUAUGUUAAGUCUUUAAAAAGGAACAAGUCUUCUUCUUUAUUUAAAAAAUUUUGUCCAAUUAAACUUAAUAUAAGCCUGGAAAUAAUAGUCAU
Non-coding RNA from Biomphalaria pfeifferi, 1658 nucleotides. NCBI's taxonomy places the organism in Eukaryota, Metazoa, Mollusca, Gastropoda, Planorbidae. The record is from the annotation of a GenBank genome assembly.